Molecule: unclassified non-coding RNA, 1894 nt
Filed under: Leishmania donovani
Lineage: Eukaryota; Euglenozoa; Kinetoplastea; Trypanosomatida; Trypanosomatidae
Description: gene:unknown
Source: RNAcentral
CCGAGGUGUUGAAUUCCAUUCUAACACGCACGAAAUGAGCAUACUCGUUAAUGCUUACAUGUGGCCGAGGUCUUUGGUGGAGCAGUAUGGACGAUGGCGGUGAUCACGUCGCCCUUAAUGAUCGCAACUCCCGUGCAAUGGCAACACCAUCGUGUUCGGCAGCUUUUUUAUCAGCGGUAGCGGAGCAAAAAGGCGGCUUUCGACGGUCACACAUUUUGAAGGAGGGAGUUAUCCCUUCUCAAUGACUCUGCGUUUCAAGGCGUAAUCGUAGGAGGCUGAUGUUUGGAGUGUGGGCUCUGGGGAAUGAAUGUAAUUAUGGAGUGAGUGCGGAGUUCCUUCAUUAGGAAGGCCCCGCCUUUUGUUUUGGAUAGAAAGGAGGUUCUUAAUGCAACACGAGUUGGCUGCCACUGUCUCAUGCUGGUAGAAAUACUUGUCCUUCGGUGGGGGGCAGCCCCGCGCACACAGCACAGAAGGCAUAAGAUGCAUUUUAUUUAUGGCGAAGAUUGCUUCACACGGUCGUGAUCUAACUCUUUGGAGCUCCACCUUGCCUUACUGAGUGCGCCGGCCAACUUUCAGCUGAUCCUGUAGACCGCCAAUGUUUUUUGGAAGUGUGUAACGCGGGUGGAAAGAAGCAGGUGAUCUAUUUAAGGCGAUUGUUUGCCGAGAAUCUGCCGACUACUACCGUGUUAGCCGCUGCAGGUCGUGUUCGCGAAACGCUGUCGAGCUUCGGAGGGCAGACAUUAUCGGCGAUAGAUCGCUUUCGUCGUUCUUUGUCGCGUGUACUUCAACCUUGUGAUUAGCGCGGGCGGUGUGUAGUCGGCGGGGAGUGGGGGAUCGAGGGGUGUUUCUUGCGGCACAGGGAAUGGUGGAGCUGUCACUAUUCGGAGUGCUGUUGUGUCAGUAGAGAGUUUUUGAAGGUAUGUUUGAGAAAGACAAACUGGCACUCGUUGGUGACGGUCAACCGCGUUUGUCGUCUGUCUUCCGUUCCUUGCAUUAGAUAGCGCAAGGAUGGCGAGAAGUGAGGUUCAGGGGGAUCUUUUUAUGUGGAGGAGGUUCUGUGUUCUGUCAGAAAACUACAACAUGGCGGAAAGCAAGUGGUGAUGGGGUGUCUGCAGUGCGAUGAGGCGUAGCAUAAAUCUGAUGGAAGACGAGAUGAAGCGAAAAAGGCAUCCCAUUCGCCCAUCGACACUGUAUAUUUUAUGUGGACGUUAAGCAUACGAAUUGUCGUAGUGAAUUGAUUUAUAUCUGCAUAGGAAGGCUUUCUUUGCAGGAGUUCCCAUGCUGGCGCUCAUGCCGUCAACCUUUAUACGGCUGCCAUUUCGACUCGGCCACGGUAAAUGCUGCUGGCCAUUUUUUUUUGCGGGUACCCCCCCCCAAACACACACACAGAUCCUUUUUUUUCUUUCCCCUCUCUCAAACAUUUUCUGCCUGUCUGCGGUUCUCUAAAAUUGUCUCGAGCAGAAGGAGGGAGGGAUCUUGGUGAAAGUGUAUGUUUCUGAGAAAUGGCGGAGAAUUCAACUACUGAGAACUGGGCUAUCCCUUGGAGAGCAUAUUGUGGAUGUGCAAGAACGGUGUCAUGUUGUUCCCGGCCAGGUGAGCUUUGAAGAGAGAAAGGUAUGUUCCAGUGGCUCCCUAGCCUUUGACGCUCUUUUCUGCUGUUGUGUAAAGUGUAGUGUGCCCUGUUGAUCACUACCAUGAAACAACUGAUAGGUGCUUUGGUUUCGGACAGACGUGUCGCCGCACAGCGCUGAUAAUUCCGGAUAAGCGUGAAGCAGGGACGCCGGGGCAUGGUGGAAGGUGCAGCACGAGGGUGAUGCUUCCUCUUCCUCUAAGCACUUCAUUUUCUUCCGCUUUCUUCUUCACCCUCUCUUAUUAUGAUAUUCGCAUCGAGUAG